This 252-nucleotide ribosomal RNA is filed under the name uncultured bacterium. RNAcentral's name for it is "partial 16S ribosomal RNA". It matches the Rfam family "Bacterial small subunit ribosomal RNA", at positions 524 to 776 of the family's 1533-position model. The record is from RNAcentral.
UACGUAGGGGGCAAGCGUUGUCCGGAAUUAUUGGGCGUAAAGCGCGCGCAGGCGGCUCUUUAAGUCUGGUGUUUAAUCCCGAGGCUCAACUUCGGGUCGCACUGGAAACUGGAGGGCUUGAGUGCAGAAGAGGAGAGUGGAAUUCCACGUGUAGCGGUGAAAUGCGUAGAGAUGUGGAGGAACACCAGUGGCGAAGGCGACUCUCUGGGCUGUAACUGACGCUGAGGCGCGAAAGCGUGGGGAGCAAACAGG